GGCCUCAAUGCUAAUAGUAUUGAGGAUUGACGUUACCCACAGAAGAAGCACCGGCUAACUCUGUGCCAGCAGCCGCGGUAAUACAGAGGGUGCAAGCGUUAAUCGGAAUUACUGGGCGUAAAGGGUGCGUAGGUGGUUUUUUAAGUCAGAUGUGAAAUCCCUGGGCUCAACCUAGGAAUUGCAUUUGAUACUGAAUAACUUGAGUAUGGUAGAGGGAAGUGGAAUUUCCAGUGUAGCGGUGAAAUGCGUAGAUAUUGGAAGGAACAUCAGUGGCGAAGGCGACUUCCUGGACCAUUACUGACACUGAGGCACGAAAGCGUGGGGAGCGAACAGGAUUAGAUACCCUGGUAGUCCACGCCGUAAACGAUGAGAACUAGAUGUUAGGGGGCUUAGACCUCUUAGUAUCGCAGCAAACGCGUUAAGUUCUUCCGCCUGGGGAGUACGGCCGCAGGUUAAAACUCAAAUGAAUUGAC
Molecule: ribosomal RNA, 473 nt
Filed under: uncultured bacterium
Lineage: Bacteria
Description: bacterial SSU rRNA
Rfam family: Bacterial small subunit ribosomal RNA
Source: RNAcentral